RNAcentral lists this transfer RNA (69 nucleotides) under Eiconaxius baja. RNAcentral's name for it is "tRNA-Met". Lineage: Eukaryota; Metazoa; Arthropoda; Malacostraca; Decapoda; Axiidae. The record is from RNAcentral.
AAAAAGAUAAGCUAAGUAAGCUAUUGGGUUCAUAUCCCACAUAUGAAAAUUUCAGAUUUUCUCUUUUUA